RNAcentral lists this long non-coding RNA (2122 nucleotides) under Gossypium barbadense (sea-island cotton). RNAcentral describes it as "long non-coding RNA (GBAR_LNC010479)". The record is from RNAcentral. Lineage: Eukaryota; Viridiplantae; Streptophyta; Magnoliopsida; Malvales; Malvaceae.
GGUGAAAAGAACAAAGUUUUGUCCAUCUUUGUUCAUAAUAGCCUAAAGUUAGAGAAGAGAAAGAAGAGGAGAAAGCUCUUGAAUGUUCGGUCACUUGGGGAAGAAAAUUGAAGGUAAGUUCAUGGUAGUUUGCUUUUAUUUUGAGGUUCAUGAGUUCUUCUUGAUUCUACCUUAACUCUUGAGGCAUAUUUUGGUUUUUAGUUGUGUUGUGAGCAUUUAGUCAUGAAUUAAAAUGAAGGAAAUGGUUGUUGUUUCAUGUUCUUUUGAUGAAAAAUGGAAGAUAGGUGAAGUUGAGCCAAACAAAUGAGCAUGCAUGUGCCUUAGAUGCUAAAGGGAAAAAUCGGCUAACAUGUUGUGCUUUAAAAUGAUGAAAUGGAGACUAUACUUAAGUUAACUCAUAGAUAUGUGAUGAUUGAUUCGUGAUAUACAUGUUUAAAUAACAUGCAUGCAAGUUAAGUGUGAAAGAGUGAUUUGGUAAUAAAUCUGCUUGGGACAGCAGCAGUAACGUGACUUUGGAAAAUCACCAUAAAUUGUGGGAGAUGAAUUAGAAGCUAAAUAAAUUAUAUAAUUAAAGCUUAAUGAGUCUAUUUUCAAAUGAAAUAAGCAAGAACAUAUUUUGAAUUCUGUACAAUGAGAAAUUUGAUUCGUAAUGAAGAGUGGUCAGAUUAGUCAAACAGUGAAACAUGGGAAACUUUAAGAAAAAUCUGGUAUUGAUUGGAUAAACCAAAAAUUAUGAAAAUUUUAUGGAUAGAAGAUAUAUGAGUCUAUUUUCAGGUAAAAUUAACGGCACUUGAUUUGGAGUUUCGUAGCUCCAGUUAUAAAUGAUUUAGUGACUGUUGCUCAGGAAGACAGCUUGCAGUGAAAUUAUGAUUAUGUGGUAAACACUGACAAAAAUUUGUUAAUGAGUUGCUUAUUGAUUUCUUAUAAGCUUACUCUGAUCUGUAGGUGUGGUUGGCCGAAUAUUGUAAGGGGUUAAUACGUAGUUCGUAUUUGAAUAGUUAGAUUAAUGUGUUAAUAAUCCAAUUGUAGGCAGUUCGUGUGUGGAUCUCGUCAGCAUAUCGUCGCAAACAAGUGUGUAACUAACACCCUCUUUCUUAGUCUGGAUCGGCAAAAGUCGAAAAGCCGAAAUGCCGAAAACCGAUAUUUUGUAGAUUUGCGGGUGUACGAAUGCUCGUGAGGUAAAUCGAUUAAUGUUUUUGGUAAGCUGCAAAAUUUGGAAUGCAAAGUGCAUGAUUUCUGUGCCCUCGAUAUUUUUGGGCUUAAUGGGCCAAAAUUGGAAUGAUGGGCCAACGGGCCCAAUCGGUAAGAACCCUCGGUACGUGAUUCUGUUAGUACGUGAAAAGUAAGAAUACGUAAGAAAAACCCUAAAAUAGAUAAAUUACUGAAAUACCUUUAAAAGUGGAAAAUUUACAGUUUUACCCUUAGUAGAUAAAUUACUGAAAUACCCCUAGGGUUAAAUUGACCUAAAUGCAUGUUUGACUGUUGUUAUUUACUGCAUGCCAUGUUGUUAUUAUCUGAUGCAUGGGAUUGGGAUAUUAACGGAGGAAGUACUGAAAGUGGCUUGUCCACGUACUGGAGGCUUUGCCUCAAUUUACUGUUAACUGAGCAGCAAGGCUGCAACUGUGGAGUGUUGGGCUGGGUGGGUUGAGCUAUUCCCCACAUGGAGUGUAGGGCUGGUAGGGUGGAGUGUAGUGGUUGGUGGGUUGAGUAGUCUCCCCAAAUGGGCUUGCAUAUGUUAUUGAUGUUGCAUGUAUUUUGAAAUGGGCCUAUGGGCCAUACUGUUAUCUGAAUAAGGGGCUAAGGCCCAGUUUAUUGUAAUCUGAAAAGGGCUCUGGUCCAGUACCACUGUUACCUGAAUGGGCUUAGGCCCAAUAGGCUUGAGCUGACUUAGGCUUUGAAUGGGUUUUCCUUACACACUGAGUUUCCCCAAACUCACCCCUUUUAUUUUCAUCCACGCAGGAAAUCCCCAACCAUAGUGGGCUUGGAGCUGUGAGGGAAUUCGGAGUGGCCAUCCGUUCUGAAAGUUUGGUUUUCUUCUGGUGAACUGGACAUCCUAUUAUUUACGUUUGAAGUUUUGGGCUUUUUAAAUGUAAUAAGGCCGCUUAAUUAUUUUUGAUGGUUU